RNAcentral lists this ribosomal RNA (448 nucleotides) under uncultured bacterium. Its description in RNAcentral is "bacterial SSU rRNA". It matches the Rfam family "Bacterial small subunit ribosomal RNA", at positions 328 to 793 of the family's 1533-position model. The record is from RNAcentral.
UCGCCAGACUCCUACGGGAGGCAGCAGUGGGGAAUAUUGCACAAUGGGGGAAACCCUGAUGCAGCGACGCCGCGUGGGCGAUGAAGUAUUUCGGUAUGUAAAGCUCUAUCAGCAGGGAAGAAAAUGACGGUACCUGACUAAGAAGCCCCGGCUAACUACGUGCCAGCAGCCGCGGUAAUACGUAGGGGGCAAGCGUUAUCCGGAUUUACUGGGUGUAAAGGGAGCGUAGACGGCCAUUCAAGCCAGAUGUGAAAGCCCGGGGCUCAACCCCGGGACUGCAUUUGGAACUGUGUGGCUAGAGUGUCGGAGAGGCAGGCGGAAUUCCUAGUGUAGCGGUGAAAUGCGUAGAUAUUAGGAGGAACACCAGUGGCGAAGGCGGCCUGCUGGACGAUGAUUGACGUUGAGGCUCGAAAGCGUGGGGAGCAAACAGGAUUAGAUACCCGCGUAU